This 772-nucleotide long non-coding RNA is filed under the name Mytilus galloprovincialis (Mediterranean mussel). Lineage: Eukaryota; Metazoa; Mollusca; Bivalvia; Mytilida; Mytilidae. The record is from RNAcentral.
CCCUAGAAUAGUUUUGAACACCUCUACCAUAGAACAGUUUUAAACAGUUCUACCUUAGAAAUGAUUCUGAAAUUUCUACCCAAGAACGGAUUCUGAUAGCUCUACCAUAACAGAGGUCCAGACAGUUCUAUCUCUUGAACAUUUUGGGCAGCUUUAUCAGUUAUUCAUUCUUUUAAAUUAUUUUCUGUCUUUAUCUUUUUAUUUCGUAAUUGUGUGCCACUAGUGGAGCAUGAACUAAAGUUACCAAUCCGAAGCUACAGAUAUCACCUGCGGUUUUAUGUGGGGUUCCAGUUGCUCAAUUUUUUAUUUUCUGUGUAGUGUUUAGCAGUUAUUUUGUUUGGCGAUGGUUUUGUCUGUUUUAAUCUAUUAGUCUUGUGAUCUGUUAUCAAUUUUUCCUUUUUCGCUCCGUCCUAUCCUGCUACACGUGUUAUUACCUUUUCGAUUACAUUUUUUCCCCAUUUUUUGCAUAUGAUAUUAUAUAUGUAUACAAUUAACGUUAGGAUGGAAGAAAAAGCCGAUAAACAUGAUUGUAUUAUUGGUAUGGGACUUUAGUGUCUAAAUUUAUAACAAAACCUAAAUCAUUUGUGCAAGACUUUUGGUGAUAUUCCAAUACUAUUCUUUUUUAUUGAUCUUGAUCGUUACAAAACUUUUACUGAAUAAUAAUUAUGUCUCAUUUUAAGCACUACUCCGAAGAUUAUAAAAAAAGCAAUGCCAAUCACUGUUUAAUUGGUCAAGGUUAAAGAAAUGUUAACGUCAUGAUCAAAUAAAUGAU